AUGGGCAUUGACGUCAAGUCCAUCAUCUCGCAGGCGUACACAAACGUGACUGUGCCUGGCAAGAACCUAACGUCCGGCCUCCCGAUGACUUGCAACAUCACCUACGGCAACGAAACACAAACCCUAGCAGCUAUUCUCAAGAUCGGCGACGCGACAUACCGUGUCAACACUAAUGUUGACCUGAGGCUCAUGCCUAGUGUGGUGACCAUUGGCUUCUCCGGUGCUACCGGCGCAGCAGACGAGUUAUAUCAAAUAAUGUCCUGGAAAUUUCGCUCCACCUUCAACCCGCAUGCACGGAAGAGCUCUGAGAGCCCCCCUCCUGCACCAAAGAUCCUGCUAGUAGAGGUAAUAACUGGACCAAUUAUUGGAGUUAUUGCAAUUGUGUGCAUCUUUGUUGGCAUCAGUCGAUGGCAACUAUGCACGAGAAAGAAGCGUUACAGAUCUCUCGCCGGGGGCAUUGGACAUAUUGGUUACCGUAAGUUGGCCCAUGCGGCCAACAAAUUCGCAGAGGAAAACAAGCUAGGGCAAGGAGGUUCUGCCUCUGUUUAUCGGGGCGAACUGACAAAUCCAAGUAGAGCAGUGGCAAUAAAGAGAUUCAACCCCGCAACAUCUAGCGAGGGGAGGAAGGCGUUCGAGGACGAACUCAGGAUUGCCACUCGCCUCAGGCAUAGGAACCUUGUCGAAUUGAUAGGUUGGUGCUAUUAUGGCCAGAGAUACUUGGUUGAGUUUAUAUGCUGGUGGCGGGACGAUAGGUAUACACGUCUCUUCCUUGUGUACGAGCUUUUACCGCAAGGUAGCCUUGAUCAACACUUACACGAGGGCAAACGUUGGUUGCCAUGGUCCAAGAGGUACGAUAUCAUCCUGGACCUAGGAUCUGCACUGCAAUACCUCCAUGUAGAUUGUGAGCAACACAAGCAAUGUGUCGUACAUGGUGAUAUCAAAUCAAGCAACAUGCUGCUUGACCCUUCGUACAGUGCCAAGUUAGGUGACUUUGGAUUGGCAAGGUCUGUUCACCAAGAAACUGGGGCACAGACCACUGACGUUGUCCAGAGCACUUACGGGUAUAUAGACCCUGUGUUUGUCAACACGAGCCAACGAAAUAGGCAGUCAGACAUCUACAAUUUCGGCAUUGUCCUACUAGAGAUGGUCUCUGGAAGGGACCCCACGGCGCGUCUCAAUGAUAGGCCUCCAUUGACAUCAUGGGUAAGGAGUUUGUACCAUGGGAAUGCACUCCUUGAGGCCGCAGAUGUCAGGCUGAUAGGUGGCGAGUCCAUUGUCGGGCGACAGCAGAUGAAGCGUGCGCUACUAGUCGGGCUCUUGUGCGUGCACCAGGAUCUUAGCAGCCGGCCGUCCAUCAUGGACACCAUGGAUGCCCUGCGAUCGGAGAGGCUGGAAUCGGACAUCACUCCCCUAGCGCCGGUGAUACCACUCUUGAUGCCAUAG
Molecule: ribosomal RNA, 1443 nt
Filed under: Triticum aestivum (bread wheat)
Lineage: Eukaryota; Viridiplantae; Streptophyta; Magnoliopsida; Poales; Poaceae
Description: partial small subunit ribosomal RNA
Source: RNAcentral